GCAGCCGUAGCUUAGUUGGAUAGAGCACCUGACUACGAAUCAGGAGGUCGUGUGUUCGAAUCACACCGGUUGCGCCA
This 77-nucleotide transfer RNA is filed under the name Bacteriovoracaceae bacterium. RNAcentral describes it as "tRNA-Arg". It matches the Rfam family "tRNA". From Rfam's summary of the family: Transfer RNA (tRNA) molecules are approximately 80 nucleotides in length. Their secondary structure includes four short double-helical elements and three loops (D, anti-codon, and T loops). The record is from RNAcentral. Lineage: Bacteria; Pseudomonadati; Bdellovibrionota; Bacteriovoracia; Bacteriovoracales; Bacteriovoracaceae.